This 391-nucleotide ribosomal RNA is filed under the name Klebsiella sp. UR29. RNAcentral describes it as "bacterial SSU rRNA". It matches the Rfam family "Bacterial small subunit ribosomal RNA", at positions 964 to 1354 of the family's 1533-position model. The record is from RNAcentral. Lineage: Bacteria; Pseudomonadati; Pseudomonadota; Gammaproteobacteria; Enterobacterales; Enterobacteriaceae.
AAGAACCUUACCUACUCUUGACAUCCACGGAACUUAUCAGAGAUGCUUUGGUGCCUUCGGGAACUCUGAGACAGGUGCUGCAUGGCUGUCGUCAGCUCGUGUUGUGAAAUGUUGGGUUAAGUCCCGCAACGAGCGCAACCCUUAUCCUUUGUUGCCAGCGGUCCGGCCGGGCACUCAAAGGAGACUGCCAGUGAUAAACCGGAGGAAGGUGGGGAUGACGUCAAGUCAUCAUGGCCCUUACGAGUAGGGCUACACACGUGCUACAAUGGCACAUACAAAGGGAAGCCACCUCGCGAGAGCAAGCGGACCUCAUAAAGUAUGUCGUAGUCCGGAUUGGAGUCUGCAACUCGACUCCAUGAAGUCUGGAAUCGCUAGUAAUCGUGGAUCAGAA